UUCCGGUUGAUCCUGCCGGAGGUCACUGCUAUUGGGAUUCGACUAAGCCAUGCGAGUCGAGAGGGUUCGGCCCUCGGCUGACGGCUCAGUAACACGUGGAUAAUCUGCCCUUAGGUGGAGGAUAAUCUCGGGAAACUGAGGAUAAUACUCCAUAGAUCUAGGAUGCUGGAAUGCAUCUAGAUUGAAAGCUCCGGCGCCUAAGGAUGAGUCUGCGGACUAUCAGGUUGUAGUCAGGGUAAAGACCUGACUAGCCUACGACGGAUACGGGUUGUGAGAGCAAUAACCCGGAGACGAUAUCUGAGACACGAUAUCGGGCCCUACGGGGCGCAGCAGGCGCGAAAACUUCACACUGUGCGAAAGCGCGAUGAGGGAAUCCCAAGUGUUUGCUCGUAAGAGUAAACUGUUUCUUUGUUUAAAACGCAGAGAGAGUAAGGGCUGGGUAAGACGGGUGCCAGCCGCCGCGGUAAUACCUGCAGCUCGAGUGGUGAUCAUUAUUAUUGGGCCUAAAACGUCCGUAGCCGGUUUAGUAAAUGCCUGGGUAAAUCGUGUAGCUUAACUAUACGACUUCCGGGUAGACUGCUAAACUUGAGACCGGGAGAGGCUAGAGGUACUCCUGGGGUAGAGGUGAAAUUCUGUAAUCCUAGGGGGACCACCAGUGGCGAAGGCGUCUAGCUAGAACGGGUCUGACGGUGAGGGACGAAGCCCUGGGGCACAAACCGGAUUAGAUACCCGGGUAGUCCAGGGUGUAAACGCUGCUUGCUUGAUGUUAGUUGGGCUCCGAGCCCAACUAGUGUCGGAGAGAAGUUGUUAAGCAAGCUGCCUGGGAAGUACGGUCGCAAGGCUGAAACUUAAAGGAAUUGGCGGGGGAGCACAGCAACGGGUGGAGCGUGCGGUUUAAUUGGAUUCAACGCCGGGAA
This 917-nucleotide ribosomal RNA is filed under the name uncultured archaeon. Its description in RNAcentral is "bacterial SSU rRNA". It matches the Rfam family "Archaeal small subunit ribosomal RNA", at positions 1 to 924 of the family's 1478-position model. The record is from RNAcentral.